GUGAGGAAUAUUGGUCAAUGGGCGCAAGCCUGAACCAGCCAUGCCGCGUGCAGGAAGAAGGUCCUAUGGAUUGUAAACUGCUUUUAUUUGGGAAUAAACCUCUUUACGUGUAGAGAGCUGAAGGUACCAAAUGAAUAAGCACCGGCUAACUCCGUGCCAGCAGCCGCGGUAAUACGGAGGGUGCAAGCGUUAUCCGGAAUCAUUGGGUUUAAAGGGUCCGCAGGCGGACUUAUAAGUCAGUGGUGAAAGCCCAUCGCUUAACGAUGGAACUGCCAUUGAUACUGUAAGUCUUGAAUUCGGUCGAAGUGGGCGGAAUGUGACAUGUAGCGGUGAAAUGCUUAGAUAUGUCACAGAACACCGAUAGCGAAGGCAGCUCACUAGGCCUGGAUUGACGCUCAUGGACGAAAGCGUGGGGAGCAAACAGGAUUAGAAACCCCAGUAGUCC
Molecule: ribosomal RNA, 445 nt
Filed under: uncultured bacterium
Lineage: Bacteria
Description: bacterial SSU rRNA
Rfam family: Bacterial small subunit ribosomal RNA
Source: RNAcentral